GAAAUAUGCCUGAAUAAAGGGCCACUUUGAUAGAGUGGAUCAUGGGGACUAAAGCCCUCUAUUUCC
This 66-nucleotide transfer RNA is filed under the name Ariosoma meeki. RNAcentral's name for it is "tRNA-Ile". The record is from RNAcentral. Lineage: Eukaryota; Metazoa; Chordata; Actinopteri; Anguilliformes; Congridae.